Cornus florida is the source of this 125-nucleotide small nucleolar RNA. RefSeq annotates it as small nucleolar RNA snoR74. Lineage: Eukaryota; Viridiplantae; Streptophyta; Magnoliopsida; Cornales; Cornaceae. The record is from RefSeq and is a predicted model, not a curated record. The transcript has a single exon.
AAAAAGGCAGUGUAUUGCUUCCUUUGUGGCUCUACUCUUGUAGACUUCAAGAAAAUCAUUUCCAUUGUUAUUGGGUGAACCUCUUAAUCUGUUUUGGUAACUGAAGGGUAAAUGAUGGAAUAUUG